This 252-nucleotide ribosomal RNA is filed under the name uncultured bacterium. Its description in RNAcentral is "partial 16S ribosomal RNA". It matches the Rfam family "Bacterial small subunit ribosomal RNA", at positions 524 to 776 of the family's 1533-position model. The record is from RNAcentral.
UACAGAGGGUGCAAGCGUUGUUCGGAAUUAUUGGGCGUAAAGCGCGUGUAGGCGGCUUUGCAAGUCGGGUGUGAAAGCCUCAGCUUAACUGAGGAAGUGCGCCCGAAACUGCAGAGCUUGAGUACCGGAGAGGAUGGUGGAAUUCCCGAAGUAGAGGUGAAAUUCGUAGAUAUCGGGAGGAACACCGGUGGCGAAGGCGACCAUCUGGACGGAUACUGACGCUGAGACGCGAAAGCGUGGGUAGCAAACAGG